This is a long non-coding RNA of Gasterosteus aculeatus aculeatus (three-spined stickleback), 421 nucleotides long. The record is from Ensembl. Lineage: Eukaryota; Metazoa; Chordata; Actinopteri; Perciformes; Gasterosteidae.
CUUAAGGGAAGGAAUAUUCGUGUGGCACAUUUUAACAACAAGGCAAUUUAAUGUGCUUUACGUAAAACAAUUGAAAACAUCAGGGAAAAGAAAAUCAAAACACCCUUGUCGUGGAUCAAGUCCAUACGUUAAAAGUUACGUGUGGGAGAUAAGGGACGUUGGGUUUCUCCAGUGUGACGGACGCACGGGGGAAUCUCCUGCCAAAGACAAACAAGGCGCUGUCGCGCGGCCAAGUUUGACGCCGUACGACCACCGCCUUAAUACCCUUCUAGAGCCGACUGUCUGUCCCGAGGGUGCGAUGCUGCUGCGCUCUGCGGCGUGCGCCACAUGCGCAAACGCCCCCCCGCCCCCCCGUUUUCCCUUUUUUUGGCGCAGCGCUGCGCUCCGGACGCUCCAGUGCGUCGUGGGAAGGAGACACAUU